RNAcentral lists this long non-coding RNA (2591 nucleotides) under Sorghum bicolor (sorghum). Its description in RNAcentral is "long non-coding RNA (SBIC_LNC011903)". Lineage: Eukaryota; Viridiplantae; Streptophyta; Magnoliopsida; Poales; Poaceae. The record is from RNAcentral.
UCUCUUAAGUAGUAUUUCUGGAUCCUUACCAAGGCAGUAAGUUGUAUGCCUUCUCUCAAAGUAUGUGGUAUUUUUGGUAUGAGGCAUAGUGGCAUUGCCUUCUCUCUCACCCUACUCUAAUAAGGUUUUGAUAUCUGAAGCUCAAAGGUGGGAGAUAGCUAAUACAUACUUACAAGACAUUUAUUGCAUAGUCAAACCAUGGAUCCAGAAGAACAAGUCAAUAAGUCAAAUCAAGAUGUGCAUGUGUGGUGAAUGAAUGGUAUAUGGUGAUGAUGGUGAUAACAAUGGUGAAAGUCUAAUUCUAUGUUUGCUCUUUUGAGGGGAUACAUACCUUUCUUGCACCUUGAAGCUUUUUGAGGGGAAUGAGAUGUUCUAUAUUUUUUUUCUUUUCUCUCAGAUGGGUAUCUUGUACCCCUAAUUCUACUGUCGGACACUUGUCCAUUUUUACCUCUUGUCUCACUUUUUCUUUUCUUCGAGGUUUCGGGCACUUGCCCCUUUUUAUUUCCUCGUAUUCACUUUUUUUCGAGCACUCAUCCUCCUAGAAUAAUGUAGCAAGUGGUAGUAACCAAAAUAUCUUGAGCAUUUAUUUCACAGGGAAAAAUAGGAAUAGGAGAAUGUUUUUGGCUAUUCUCUCCCAGAUUAGGAGUAGAAUAUUUUUGGGUGGUUCUGUAGAUGGAAAUGGAUGGAUAUAUGUGGAUGCAUACUUCCGAAGUAGAAGCAGCAUGUGUGAGUGAAUGUGCAAGUGAAUCUUGAUUUAACCACAUGACAAGCUCCUAAGGGUUUACACAGCUUGACCACACUCAAUGCUCAUAAGCAGUAAAGUAAAUGUGUGGCUCAAAGUUAAGCAAGCAUGUAUAUAUGGCUGUGGUAGGAAUUUAAACUCUCAUCAUACAAGAACUCAUCAUGUGUUAUUUUAAAUAUUUUCAAAGAUAAAAUUCUCUAGAAUUCUAACAUCUCUAAGAAUAGAUAAACAGCAGCUCAACCUUCCCAAAUCAUAUCCGUUAACGACUUAGACUUCAGAUCAAGUACUCUUCCCACAAGUUCAGGUUUAGAGUAAAUCUUAAUUAAUAACAGUCAGGCCUAAACUUGAGAGAGAUUUCUAUUUUAAGAAGUAGUCAUGGCAGAGAAACUAUUCAUCAUUUCCAUGUGAGAGCUUAUCAUGAGGGUUCAUAGCAAAUUUUAUUUAUUUAUUUAUUUAGCAAACUAAGCAAAGAUAUAAGCACAAAAUCUUUAUUUGGGUUUUUAUGAUUAUGCAUUUUUUAUUAUUUGAGUAAAAUAUAAACGUGAGUAGAACACUUAGCUGGAUAAAUGGGGGUGCUCUCCCCCAAGCUGGAUUUUGACAUAAUUUCUUCUGAUGUAACUAGCAGGUGGCGGAGGUGUUUUUGAAUGUCGACAGCAUCCUGACAGCGGUUAGGAUUUCCUCCGUCUGCUAGUCUUCUUUGAUCCUUGAAUUCUGUGGAGCUCAAAUAGACAACAAAGCUUUGUGGAACUGGUUAAGUGUUAGCAUAAAUAUCUAGUCUUUAUCAUGUUGAGCCUCCUCAAUAAAUGUUACACUCUUUGGUAGGUUUAUAAAUUUAUUUCUAUAUUUACAUUUUUAUAGCACAUAGAUAUAUUUAUUUUAUUUUUAUGCCACCAUAGUGAAUGUACUUAUGGGUUUUAUGCCAUGAGCAUACUCACAUGGGGCUUACUAUUUUUAAUAUUUUUAUUUUCUUUUCAAAAUGAUAUGAACCUGAUUAACUAAGCAAACUAUUUUAAAUAAUUGAAAGGAAAUGGAUAACUACCAAGUUUACCUCUUGGCAAGGCGCUCGGUGUUUUUAAGUUCUCCGAACGGGACUCUCUGUUUUCUCAGUCGUCCUGGGAUUCGCUGGAUGACGUAGUCGGUGGUUUCGGCGGUGCCUGCUCUUCAUGUAUGACUAUCUUCUCUCUCCACACCUAACUCGGUGCUACGGUCUCCUCAGGACAGUUCUGUUCAAGUUGUAUGUCUUCAGACCUUACCCCUUCUCCUUCAUAGUCCGCCCAUCCGUCCUUGAUGAUUUGCCAUCUCUGGUUGCGGUUGCGUCGUCUUCUUUGUCCUGACCUGCUUGGAGUCUUCAAUUAUAUAGUUAGGGUCAGUAAAAUAGCGGCGUGCCUUCUCAGAGGGGAAGUGCAUGUGGACUUCUCCGGUUCCAAUGUAAAUGAUUGCUUUAACAGGGUUGAGGAACGGUCUUCCAAGGAUGAUGGGUGGAUUGUACUCGUCUUCUCCCAUGUCAAUAACCUUCAAUCUUUCGGAAUGUCUGAUCUGCCAUCUGGAGCUGAAUGUAUGUCGGUUUUAUCGGCAUGGUUCCGAAUUGGAGCUGAUAGGUGACUGGGUCGUCCUUUUUGGUCAGGAACGGUGACUUAAGUCGACGAUCUUGACAUCCUUGAACUGCAGUGACCAUCUUAGCUGACUCGGUCCACAUUUGCUUGUUUCUGUUCUUCCUGUUGGUCCCCUUCCUUGGUUCAUGUCGGGAAUGCUCUGAGAUUUGUGUAGUCUUGUUCUUGAAGGAAAACGUCUCCUUCCGCCCCUUGAUGUAGAAACUGAUCUUGGCAGCACUAGCGUAGAUGACAGCUCC